Molecule: non-coding RNA, 84 nt
Organism: Vigna angularis (adzuki bean)
Lineage: Eukaryota; Viridiplantae; Streptophyta; Magnoliopsida; Fabales; Fabaceae
Source: Rfam
GCCUCUGAGGAUGAUGUAAAGUAUAACUUUCGUUCUACCGAUGUUUCUAUGGGGAAACUGUAUGGAGACCUGAACUGAAGAGGC